This 2367-nucleotide ribosomal RNA is filed under the name Salmonella enterica subsp. enterica. Its description in RNAcentral is "partial 23S ribosomal RNA". It matches the Rfam family "Bacterial large subunit ribosomal RNA", at positions 679 to 2925 of the family's 2925-position model. Lineage: Bacteria; Pseudomonadati; Pseudomonadota; Gammaproteobacteria; Enterobacterales; Enterobacteriaceae. The record is from RNAcentral.
GAGUCUUAAUUGGGCGUUAAGUUGCAGGGUAUAGACCCGAAACCCGGUGAUCUAGCCAUGGGCAGGUUGAAGGUUGGGUAACACUAACUGGAGGACCGAACCGACUAAUGUUGAAAAAUUAGCGGAUGACCUGUGGCUGGGGGUGAAAGGCCAAUCAAACCGGGAGAUAGCUGGUUCUCCCCGAAAGCUAUUUAGGUAGCGCCUCGUGAAUUCAUCUCCGGGGGUAGAGCACUGUUUCGGCUAGGGGGCCAUCCCGGCUUACCAACCCGAUGCAAACUGCGAAUACCGGAGAAUGUUAUCACGGGAGACACACGGCGGGUGCUAACGUCCGUCGUGAAGAGGGAAACAACCCAGACCGCCAGCUAAGGUCCCAAAGUCAUGGUUAAGUGGGAAACGAUGUGGGAAGGCCCAGACAGCCAGGAUGUUGGCUUAGAAGCAGCCAUCAUUUAAAGAAAGCGUAAUAGCUCACUGGUCGAGUCGGCCUGCGCGGAAGAUGUAACGGGGCUAAACCAUGCACCGAAGCUGCGGCAGCGAACGUAUCACCCAAGACAACUUUACGGAGUUGACGAUUGACGGAGCGAAGCGACGUCAAAGCGUUCAUUAAAGUCGAGUUGGCUUAGGGAUACGUUCGUUGGGUAGGGGAGCGUUCUGUAAGCCUGUGAAGGUGUGUCGUGAGGCAUGCUGGAGGUAUCAGAAGUGCGAAUGCUGACAUAAGUAACGAUAAAGCGGGUGAAAAGCCCGCUCGCCGGAAGACCAAGGGUUCCUGUCCAACGUUAAUCGGGGCAGGGUGAGUCGACCCCUAAGGCGAGGCCGAAAGGCGUAGUCGAUGGGAAACGGGUUAAUAUUCCCGUACUUGGUGUUACUGCGAAGGGGGGACGGAGAAGGCUAUGUUGGCCGGGCGACGGUUGUCCCGGUUUAAGCGUGUAGGUGUGUGUUCCAGGUAAAUCCGGUUCACUUUAACACUGAGGCGUGACGACGAGGCACUACGGUGCUGAAGCAACAAAUGCCCUGCUUCCAGGAAAAGCCUCUAAGCAUCAGGUAACACGAAAUCGUACCCCAAACCGACACAGGUGGUCAGGUAGAGAAUACCAAGGCGCUUGAGAGAACUCGGGUGAAGGAACUAGGCAAAAUGGUGCCGUAACUUCGGGAGAAGGCACGCUGACACGUAGGUGAAGUGAUUUACUCAUGGAGCUGAAGUCAGUCGAAGAUACCAGCUGGCUGCAACUGUUUAUUAAAAACACAGCACUGUGCAAACACGAAAGUGGACGUAUACGGUGUGACGCCUGCCCGGUGCCGGAAGGUUAAUUGAUGGGGUCAGCGCAAGCGAAGCUCCUGAUCGAAGCCCCGGUAAACGGCGGCCGUAACUAUAACGGUCCUAAGGUAGCGAAAUUCCUUGUCGGGUAAGUUCCGACCUGCACGAAUGGCGUAAUGAUGGCCAGGCUGUCUCCACCCGAGACUCAGUGAAAUUGAACUCGCUGUGAAGAUGCAGUGUACCCGCGGCAAGACGGAAAGACCCCGUGAACCUUUACUAUAGCUUGACACUGAACAUUGAGCCUUGAUGUGUAGGAUAGGUGGGAGGCUUUGAAGUGUGGACGCCAGUCUGCAUGGAGCCGACCUUGAAAUACCACCCUUUAAUGUUUGAUGUUCUAACGUGGACCCGUAAUCCGGGUUGCGGACAGUGUCUGGUGGGUAGUUUGACUGGGGCGGUCUCCUCCUAAAGAGUAACGGAGGAGCACGAAGGUUGGCUAAUCCUGGUCGGACAUCAGGAGGUUAGUGCAAUGGCAUAAGCCAGCUUGACUGCGAGCGUGACGGCGCGAGCAGGUGCGAAAGCAGGUCAUAGUGAUCCGGUGGUUCUGAAUGGAAGGGCCAUCGCUCAACGGAUAAAAGGUACUCCGGGGAUAACAGGCUGAUACCGCCCAAGAGUUCAUAUCGACGGCGGUGUUUGGCACCUCGAUGUCGGCUCAUCACAUCCUGGGGCUGAAGUAGGUCCCAAGGGUAUGGCUGUUCGCCAUUUAAAGUGGUACGCGAGCUGGGUUUAGAACGUCGUGAGACAGUUCGGUCCCUAUCUGCCGUGGGCGCUGGAGAACUGAGGGGGGCUGCUCCUAGUACGAGAGGACCGGAGUGGACGCAUCACUGGUGUUCGGGUUGUCAUGCCAAUGGCACUGCCCGGUAGCUAAAUGCGGAAGAGAUAAGUGCUGAAAGCAUCUAAGCACGAAACUUGCCCCGAGAUGAGUUCUCCCUGAGACUUAGAGUCUCCUGAAGGAACGUUGAAGACGACGACGUUGAUAGGCCGGGUGUGUAAGCGCAGCGAUGCGUUGAGCUAACCGGUACUAAUGAACCGUGAGGCUUAACCUUACAACGCCGAAG